GACGAACGCUGGCGGCGUGCUUAACACAUGCAAGUCGAACGGAAAGGCCCUGCUUGCAGGGUACUCGAGUGGCGAACGGGUGAGUAACACGUGGGUGAUCUGCCCUGCACUUCGGGUUAAGCCUGGGAAACUGGGUCUAAUACCGGAUAGGAGCCAUUUUUAGAGUGAGGGUUGGAAAGUCUUUGCGGUGUAGGAUGAGCUGGCGGCCUAUCAGCUUGUUGGUGGGGUAAUGGCCUACCAAGGCGGCGACGGGUAGCCGGCCUGAGAGGGUGGACGGCUACAUUGGGACUGAGAUGAGGCCCAGACGCCUACGGGAGGCCGCAGGGGGGAAUCUUGCACAAUGGGCGCAAGCCUGAUGCAGCGACGCCGCGUGGGGGAUGACGGCCUUCGGUUUGUAAACUCCUUUCGCUAGGGACGAAGCUUUUUGUGACGGUACCUAGAUAAGAAGCACCGGCUAACUACGUG
This 465-nucleotide ribosomal RNA is filed under the name uncultured bacterium. Its description in RNAcentral is "partial 16S ribosomal RNA". It matches the Rfam family "Bacterial small subunit ribosomal RNA", at positions 28 to 507 of the family's 1533-position model. The record is from RNAcentral.